Molecule: unclassified non-coding RNA, 314 nt
Filed under: Hevea brasiliensis (rubber tree)
Lineage: Eukaryota; Viridiplantae; Streptophyta; Magnoliopsida; Malpighiales; Euphorbiaceae
Source: RNAcentral
AGCCGAGUAAGGCAUGUCACACUUGGUGCCGGAGCUCUUUAACUUAUCUUAUAACAUUUCCUAAUAAUCACAUUUUGUUUUAUUAAUUUAAGUUCCAUUAGUCAAUCAGAGAAACCGACGGAGUUUCCACUAAUUUAUUAACAAUUUGACAAUUUUCCACCUAUUUAAAAUCUCAAUAAUAGUUUCAAACAAAUAAAUUCUUCAAAAUCUUAAACUUCAUUUCAACAUCUCAAACUCCAACAUUUCAUUCAUUUCAUGCAUAAAUACAAGCAUGCUCAAUUUCAUAAGCAAAAUACUCAAAUUUCAUUAAUUUA